GAUUAGCCACACUGGAACUGACNCACGGACCAGACUCCUACGGGAGGCAGCAGUAAGGAAUAUUGGUCAAUGGGCGCAAGCCUGAACCAGCCAUGCCGCGUGCAGGAAGACGGCCCUAUGGGUUGUAAACUGCUUUUGUCAGGGAAUAAACCCCCGCUCGUGAGCGGGGCUGAAGGUACCUGAAGAAUAAGCAUCGGCUAACUCCGUGCCAGCAGCCGCGGUAAUACGGAGGAUGCAAGCGUUAUCCGGAUUCAUUGGGUUUAAAGGGUGCGCAGGCGGAUUGGUAAGUCAGGGGUGAAAUCCCACAGCUCAACUGUGGAACUGCCUUUGAUACUGUCAGUCUAGAGUAUAGUUGAAGUUGGCGGAAUGUGUCAUGUAGCGGUGAAAUGCUUAGAUAUGACACAGAACACCGAUCGCGAAGGCAGCUAGCUAAGCUAUAACUGACGCUCAUGCACGAAAGCGUGGGGAUCAAACAGGAUUAGAUACCCUGGUAGUCCACG
Molecule: ribosomal RNA, 500 nt
Filed under: uncultured sulfate-reducing bacterium
Lineage: Bacteria
Description: bacterial SSU rRNA
Rfam family: Bacterial small subunit ribosomal RNA
Source: RNAcentral